AGCCAGCGUGCCUUCCUCAUGUGUCUGUUACUGCAAAUGGGGACAGUUUGGAGACCAUUAAUGGAACUGAGUGCAGUUGGUGGCAUAACUUGUUAGCUAAUCCAGUGCAAGUCACAUAUGCUGAUGAUUUUGAAAAGAAGACAAGACAGCAAAGACCCUAUAUCUAAUGGGAACCUGGCAUGUACUAGAAAACCGUUGAAAUUCUCAAGUCCUGUGGUAAUACUCUG
Strigops habroptila (Kakapo) is the source of this 227-nucleotide long non-coding RNA. RefSeq lists it as uncharacterized. The transcript has 3 exons. The record is from RefSeq and is a predicted model, not a curated record. NCBI's taxonomy places the organism in Eukaryota, Metazoa, Chordata, Aves, Psittaciformes, Psittacidae.